Peromyscus leucopus (white-footed mouse) is the source of this 1080-nucleotide long non-coding RNA. RefSeq lists it as uncharacterized. NCBI's taxonomy places the organism in Eukaryota, Metazoa, Chordata, Mammalia, Rodentia, Cricetidae. The record is from RefSeq and is a predicted model, not a curated record. The transcript has 3 exons.
AUUAACCCAUCUUUUCUAUACAUCACCACAUGGCUCUUGGCUUACUGCUCCUUUAGCAUCUUGCUUCUUGGGUGGCUAGCUUGUAUCUCCUGACCACGCCCCUCUUCCUCUGAGUCCUGUUUGAUUCUUCCGCCUAACCUUAUCCUGCCUUGCCAUAGGCCAAAACAGCUUUAUUAUCAACCAAUGACAUCAAUGCAAAUUCACAGCAUACAGAAGGACCACCCCACAGCAGGGGUCUUUGAUCUACUGUGGGGACCUCCAAGGCAGUAGGGGGAGGUUCCAAGACUGCCCCGGUGAACUGUUAUUCAAAGUCCACGAAUAGGCAGAUAGCAUUUUUUUUAACUAAUGCCCUCUUGAAUAUAACUGAAUAUUAUAUUCUUCUGGAAGAUUCCAAGUACAUAAACAUAGCAGGAACUCUGAAAAGCCUAACAAUAUUUCUAAAAACUUCUCUUUCCAGCCUACAGCUCCACUUUUCACCAUUACAAAGAGUUGCUACUUCAAAGAAAAAGUGUAAGCACGGUGGUUAAGAAACACUCAACUAAAGAAUUUGCAAUUAGGAGCAUUGGAGUCUCCAGGUUUUCGAGUUUCACCAAGCCAGAGCAUACUACGUUAUUCCUCUUCUACUGUUGAAGAAUAUGCCAUUGGGUGACUAUAACACAUUCUUUAUUCAGUCGGCACACAGCAUUGGGCUGGGCCCACCGUUCACUAGCAUGAAUAUGUUUCAAUCCUAUCAACAGGGAGUUGUCAGCCAAGGAAGGACUAUCAAGUGUUUGAAACAGGAGGCAAUGAAUUGGAAGUGGAUUUUUGAGGGUCCCCAAAAGAGUGGCAGCAGCCCAGCGGUGGUGGCGCACGCCUUUAAUCCCAGCACUCGGGAGGCAGAGCCAGGCGGAUCUCUGUGAGUUCGAGGCCAGCCUGGUCUACAGAGUGAGAACCAGGCAAGUUAGAGCCAUCAUACACAGAAGGCCUGUGUGUGCGAGUCAGGGGUGAGGUGGGCGGCCGCAAGGAGCCUCUCACCUCAGAACCGGAUGAAGAGCGGCUGCCCGAAGGCAUGGAGUGGGGGGGGGACCCACUUGUUUUUCU